AUUAGGAAUCUUGCACAAUGGGGGAAACCCUGAUGCAGCGACGCCGCGUGCGGGAUGACGGCCUUCGGGUUGUAAACCGCUUUUAAGAGGGAAGAAGAAUGUGACGGUACCUCUUGAAUAAGCCCCGGCUAACUACGUGCCAGCAGCCGCGGUAAUACGUAGGGGGCGAGCGUUGUCCGAAGUUACUGGGCGUAAAGCGCGCGUAGGCGGGCCUUUAAGUCUGGUGUGAAAGGUUUGGGCUCAACCCGAACAGUGCACUGGAUACUGAGGGCCUUGAGUGCGGGAGAGGAGAGCGGAAUUCCUGGUGUAGCGGUGAAAUGCGUAGAUAUCAGGAGGAACACCGAUGGCGAAGGCAGCUCUUUGGCCUGCAACUGACGCUGAGGUGCGAAAGCGUGGGGAGCGAACGG
This 407-nucleotide ribosomal RNA is filed under the name uncultured bacterium. RNAcentral describes it as "bacterial SSU rRNA". It matches the Rfam family "Bacterial small subunit ribosomal RNA", at positions 354 to 775 of the family's 1533-position model. The record is from RNAcentral.